AAUCAACGCUGGCGGCGUGCCUCAGACAUGCAAGUCGAACGCGAAAGUCCCCUUCGGGGGGACAAGUAGAGUGGCGCACGGGUGAGUAACACGUAGGUAAUCUACCUUCGGAUGGGGAAUAACAACCGGAAACGGUUGCUAAUACCGCAUAAUGCAGCGGCACCUAAUGGUGACAGUUGUUAAAGCGGGGGAUCGAAAGACCUCGCGUCUGAAGAGGAGCCUGCGGCGGAUUAGCUAGNGGUAAGGUAAUGGCUUACCAAGGCGACGAUCCGUAGCCGGCCUGAGAGGGGCGGUCGGCCACACUGACACUGACAUACGGGUCAGACUCCUACGGGAGGCAGCAGUCGGGAAUUUUGGGCAAUGGGCGAAAGCCUGACCCAGCAACGCCGCGUGAAGGAUAGAAA
This 404-nucleotide ribosomal RNA is filed under the name uncultured bacterium. RNAcentral describes it as "bacterial SSU rRNA". It matches the Rfam family "Bacterial small subunit ribosomal RNA", at positions 32 to 414 of the family's 1533-position model. The record is from RNAcentral.